AAUUCUCAACUAUUAUCAGCUUUUGCUGAUGAUGGCUUGGAUAUGGGGGUUUAUUUUGCUGGCUUCACAGAAUGUCAGCUCCCCUUAAAUGCAUUAGCCGGUGCCCCGCGUGGACUGUCUAUUGGUGUGAUAAUUAUCUACGCCGUGGACAUCUACAAUCAUAUGGGUUUGUACUGCUUCCAACCGUCUGUUUACUCAGACAAUACAUGACA
Molecule: unclassified non-coding RNA, 212 nt
Filed under: uncultured Hebeloma
Lineage: Eukaryota; Fungi; Basidiomycota; Agaricomycetes; Agaricales; Cortinariaceae
Description: sequence contains ITS2
Source: RNAcentral